Molecule: long non-coding RNA, 209 nt
Organism: Cydia strobilella
Lineage: Eukaryota; Metazoa; Arthropoda; Insecta; Lepidoptera; Tortricidae
Exons: 2
Source: RefSeq, a predicted model, not a curated record
CCACCAUCGCCACCAACUCCAGUAUGGAUCCCCACUGAGGCUCAAGCUCAAGCUCAAGCCCAAGCCCAAGCUCAGGCUCAAGCUCAAACUCAAAGCUUAUUAGGAGGUUGGGGAGGUGGCGCGUCGCAAGCUCAGAGCCAAGCUCAGGCCCAGGCUCAAACGGCAGCGCUCGCACAAGCUUUAGCUCAAGCCCAAGCCCAGGCCCAAGG